This 273-nucleotide ribosomal RNA is filed under the name Triticum aestivum (bread wheat). Its description in RNAcentral is "partial small subunit ribosomal RNA". Lineage: Eukaryota; Viridiplantae; Streptophyta; Magnoliopsida; Poales; Poaceae. The record is from RNAcentral.
AUGUGUAUACCAAAAAAGCAAGAAGGCAUGGGGUUUAGGGAUAUCCAUUGUUUCAACCUCGCAUUGUUAGCUAAAGGCAUGCGACUGAUUGACAAUCUGGAAUCUUUAUGUGUAGUAAUUUUAAAAGCAAAGUAUUUUUCGGAGGGAGACGUGAUGAAUGCUACUUUGAACAGAAAAACAUCGUUCACAUGGCAGAGUGUCAUGGCAGGAGUGGAGACAUUGAGGAUGGGAUAUAUUUGGAGAAUUGGGAACAGUCAGAACGUUAUCAUCUAG